UAAUACGGGGGGGGCAAGCGUUGUUCGGAAUUACUGGGCGUAAAGGGUGCGUAGGCGGUUCGCUAAGUUGGAUGUGAAAACUCUGGGCUCAACCCAGAGCCUGCAUCCAAAACUGGCGGGCUAGAGUUCUGGAGGGGGUAGCGGAAUUCCUGGUGUAGCGGUGAAAUGCGUAGAUAUCAGGAGGAACACCGGUGGCGAAGGCGGCUACCUGGACAGAAACUGACGCUGAGGCACGAAAGCUAGGGGAGCAAACA
Molecule: ribosomal RNA, 254 nt
Filed under: uncultured prokaryote
Description: partial 16S ribosomal RNA
Rfam family: Bacterial small subunit ribosomal RNA
Source: RNAcentral